CAAUCAAACCGGGAGAUAGCUGGUUCUCCCCGAAAGCUAUUUAGGUAGCGCCUCGUGAAUUCAUCUCCGGGGGUAGAGCACUGUUUCGGCUAGGGGGCCAUCCCGGCUUACCAACCCGAUGCAAACUGCGAAUACCGGAGAAUGUUAUCACGGGAGACACACGGCGGGUGCUAACGUCCGUCGUGAAGAGGGAAACAACCCAGACCGCCAGCUAAGGUCCCAAAGUCAUGGUUAAGUGGGAAACGAUGUGGGAAGGCCCAGACAGCCAGGAUGUUGGCUUAGAAGCAGCCAUCAUUUAAAGAAAGCGUAAUAGCUCACUGGUCGAGUCGGCCUGCGCGGAAGAUGUAACGGGGCUAAACCAUGCACCGAAGCUGCGGCAGCGAACGUAUCACCCAAGACAACUUUACGGAGUUGACGAUUGACGGAGCGAAGCGACGUCAAAGCGUUCAUUAAAGUCGAGUUGGCUUAGGGAUACGUUCGUUGGGUAGGGGAGCGUUCUGUAAGCCUGUGAAGGUGUGUCGUGAGGCAUGCUGGAGGUAUCAGAAGUGCGAAUGCUGACAUAAGUAACGAUAAAGCGGGUGAAAAGCCCGCUCGCCGGAAGACCAAGGGUUCCUGUCCAACGUUAAUCGGGGCAGGGUGAGUCGACCCCUAAGGCGAGGCCGAAAGGCGUAGUCGAUGGGAAACGGGUUAAUAUUCCCGUACUUGGUGUUACUGCGAAGGGGGGACGGAGAAGGCUAUGUUGGCCGGGCGACGGUUGUCCCGGUUUAAGCGUGUAGGUGUGUGUUCCAGGUAAAUCCGGUUCACUUUAACACUGAGGCGUGACGACGAGGCACUACGGUGCUGAAGCAACAAAUGCCCUGCUUCCAGGAAAAGCCUCUAAGCAUCAGGUAACAUCAAAUCGUACCCCAAACCGACACAGGUGGUCAGGUAGAGAAUACCAAGGCGCUUGAGAGAACUCGGGUGAAGGAACUAGGCAAAAUGGUGCCGUAACUUCGGGAGAAGGCACGCUGACACGUAGGUGAAGUGAUUUACUCAUGGAGCUGAAGUCAGUCGAAGAUACCAGCUGGCUGCAACUGUUUAUUAAAAACACAGCACUGUGCAAACACGAAAGUGGACGUAUACGGUGUGACGCCUGCCCGGUGCCGGAAGGUUAAUUGAUGGGGUCAGCGCAAGCGAAGCUCCUGAUCGAAGCCCCGGUAAACGGCGGCCGUAACUAUAACGGUCCUAAGGUAGCGAAAUUCCUUGUCGGGUAAGUUCCGACCUGCACGAAUGGCGUAAUGAUGGCCAGGCUGUCUCCACCCGAGACUCAGUGAAAUUGAACUCGCUGUGAAGAUGCAGUGUACCCGCGGCAAGACGGAAAGACCCCGUGAACCUUUACUAUAGCUUGACACUGAACAUUGAGCCUUGAUGUGUAGGAUAGGUGGGAGGCUUUGAAGUGUGGACGCCAGUCUGCAUGGAGCCGACCUUGAAAUACCACCCUUUAAUGUUUGAUGUUCUAACGUGGACCCGUAAUCCGGGUUGCGGACAGUGUCUGGUGGGUAGUUUGACUGGGGCGGUCUCCUCCUAAAGAGUAACGGAGGAGCACGAAGGUUGGCUAAUCCUGGUCGGACAUCAGGAGGUUAGUGCAAUGGCAUAAGCCAGCUUGACUGCGAGCGUGACGGCGCGAGCAGGUGCGAAAGCAGGUCAUAGUGAUCCGGUGGUUCUGAAUGGAAGGGCCAUCGCUCAACGGAUAAAAGGUACUCCGGGGAUAACAGGCUGAUACCGCCCAAGAGUUCAUAUCGACGGCGGUGUUUGGCACCUCGAUGUCGGCUCAUCACAUCCUGGGGCUGAAGUAGGUCCCAAGGGUAUGGCUGUUCGCCAUUUAAAGUGGUACGCGAGCUGGGUUUAGAACGUCGUGAGACAGUUCGGUCCCUAUCUGCCGUGGGCGCUGGAGAACUGAGGGGGGCUGCUCCUAGUACGAGAGGACCGGAGUGGACGCAUCACUGGUGUUCGGGUUGUCAUGCCAAUGGCACUGCCCGGUAGCUAAAUGCGGAAGAGAUAAGUGCUGAAAGCAUCUAAGCACGAAACUUGCCCCGAGAUGAGUUCUCCCUGAGACUUAGAGUCUCCUGAAGGAACGUUGAAGA
Molecule: ribosomal RNA, 2123 nt
Filed under: Salmonella enterica
Lineage: Bacteria; Pseudomonadati; Pseudomonadota; Gammaproteobacteria; Enterobacterales; Enterobacteriaceae
Description: partial 23S ribosomal RNA
Rfam family: Bacterial large subunit ribosomal RNA
Source: RNAcentral